Molecule: transfer RNA, 87 nt
Filed under: Rhodospirillaceae bacterium
Lineage: Bacteria; Pseudomonadati; Pseudomonadota; Alphaproteobacteria; Rhodospirillales; Rhodospirillaceae
Also listed under: 4 other names
Description: tRNA-Leu
Rfam family: tRNA
About the family: Transfer RNA (tRNA) molecules are approximately 80 nucleotides in length. Their secondary structure includes four short double-helical elements and three loops (D, anti-codon, and T loops).
Source: RNAcentral
GCCCAGGUGGCGGAAUUGGUAGACGCGCUGGCUUCAGGUGCCAGUGACCGCAAGGUCGUGGAAGUUCGAGUCUUCUCCUGGGCACCA